CUAAAUAGGCUUUGGCUGUGGGCUCUGGUGUCAAAGUCUGUAAUACCGACAGCACAAAUGUCAAACAAAACUAUCAAAUGGUCGAACGCCAUUUUUAACGGUUUUGUAUGUGUUUUUUUUUACCUUGUUAUUCAACAAAAUGCAUACAGCAGUGCAUUUACUUUGGUUUUAGUUUUUACAACUAAUAAAGUACUCUUUGAAUUCGUGAGAGAAAAUUGAACGUGGGCAUGGGACUAUAACACUGUUGUUUGUUCGGUACAAGGGUGUACCAACAAUAAAAGGCCCAUAUUUGGUUUCCCACAUCCCAUCAGUAGAUACAGGCCGUCAAGAACCCUGGAUAAUGUAGUUUGGAUUGCCAGUUGGCUAUCCAAGGUGCCGGAGGACAACAGCAGCAAUUUGUUGCAAAAUGGGUGAUUAAUUUUGCUAAGAGAACUGGAUUUUCAACCUUUUGCUCAACGUGUGGACAGAUUCAACAUUUGAAAAAUAAAUGUUCCACCAGAUGCAACGACACAGAUCGUAUUUCUUAACCGUACAACAGUAAGCCUCAGUCAGUUAUAACAACAUAACAAUCCUCCAAUAAGUCGAGGCUUUCACGUCGGUGUUUCAAUUAAACUAAACAGCGUCGAAUGACCGAAGACCGCUUUGCAAGAGCUAAAACCGGCAAGUUGCCAUCAGAUGUGAAAAAUAAUAACCUGUGUGUAAAUUUGCAUUACAGAACAAUAAUUUUAUGAUGAAUGUACCUAUGUCAAAUAAAAACUGUUAUUAAUAAAUUUUUACAAUAUUAAAAUU
This is a long non-coding RNA of Tribolium castaneum (red flour beetle), 789 nucleotides long. RefSeq lists it as uncharacterized. The transcript has 3 exons. NCBI's taxonomy places the organism in Eukaryota, Metazoa, Arthropoda, Insecta, Coleoptera, Tenebrionidae. The record is from RefSeq and is a predicted model, not a curated record.